This is a long non-coding RNA of Daktulosphaira vitifoliae (grape phylloxera), 903 nucleotides long. RefSeq lists it as uncharacterized. The transcript has 3 exons. The record is from RefSeq and is a predicted model, not a curated record. Lineage: Eukaryota; Metazoa; Arthropoda; Insecta; Hemiptera; Phylloxeridae.
AGCGUAAAUGUGCAACUAUGUGUACGAAGAUGAAUAUGAGGAGGUGGUGCCUGCUGUCUAGGUAUUCACGUGCGUGUUGUCGUACAGCAGUCACCGUGCUCGGCUGACACUCCGGGUUAGCUGUGGGUGUCGAAAGGCUGUUGUUAUAGGAAGGGAGAAUAAGAGUAACACCUAGGUAUGAGGUGCAGACGAAGUGCAAGACACAAAUACUUGGGGUAUAGGAGAGGACAAUGAAGUACGAGGUGCAGACGAAGUGCAAGACACAAAUACUGGGCGUACCAGAUAAGGAGUAUAACAAAGUACGAGGUGCAGACGAAGUGCAAGACACAAGUACUUUAGUUAUUAGGAGAGGAUAAUGAAGUACGAGGUGCAGACGAAGUGCAAGACACAAGUACUUCAAAGAGAGAACGGGGUAGCCGAGUAUAAGGUGCAGACGAAGUGCAAGACACAAAUACUGGGCGUACCAGAUAAGGAGUAUAACAAAGUACGAGGUGCAGACGAAGUGCAAGACACAAGUACUUUAGUUAUUAGGAGAGGAUAAUGAAGUACGAGGUGCAGACGAAGUGCAAGACACAAGUACUUCAGAGAGAGAACGGGGUAGCCGAGUAUAAGGUGCAGACGAAGUGCAAGACACAAAUACUAGGCGUACCAGGUGAGGAAAGAUAACAGAGUACGAGGUGCAGACGAAGUGCAAGACACAAGUACUCUGAAAUGUCGAGGAAAAGAGUAUAUAGGUUAGAAAAGGAAUAAACAAAAACUUUACUUUAAACAGUAAGCCGGACAGCGACAACCGAGUACUGAGACUGAUGAAUGACACAAGGCACUAGAGUCGACUGACCACAAUGGUCAGGUCUAUUGGGUUUUUAUAAUAAUUACAACUAUUGCCGAUUUGGCAAUAAAUAU